This 473-nucleotide ribosomal RNA is filed under the name uncultured bacterium. Its description in RNAcentral is "bacterial SSU rRNA". It matches the Rfam family "Bacterial small subunit ribosomal RNA", at positions 8 to 526 of the family's 1533-position model. The record is from RNAcentral.
AGAGUUUGAUCCUGGCUCAGAGCGAACGCUGGCGGCAGGCUUAACACAUGCAAGUCGAGCGCCGUAGCAAUACGGAGCGGCAGACGGGUGAGUAACGCGUGGGAAUGUGCCCAAAGGUACGGAACAACCAAGGGAAACUUUGGCUAAUACCGUAUGUGCCCGAGAGGGGAAAGAUUUAUCGCCUUUGGAGCAGCCCGCGUCUGAUUAGCUAGUUGGUGGGGUAACGGCCCACCAAGGCGACGAUCAGUAGCUGGUCUGAGAGGAUGAUCAGCCACACUGGGACUGAGACACGGCCCAGACUCCUACGGGAGGCAGCAGUGGGGAAUAUUGGACAAUGGGCGCAAGCCUGAUCCAGCCAUGCCGCGUGAGUGAUGAAGGCCUUAGGGUUGUAAAGCUCUUUCGACGGGGAAGAUAAUGACGGUACCCGUAGAAGAAGCCCCGGCUAACUUCGUGCCAGCAGCCGCGGUAAUAAU